This 859-nucleotide ribosomal RNA is filed under the name uncultured bacterium. Its description in RNAcentral is "bacterial SSU rRNA". It matches the Rfam family "Bacterial small subunit ribosomal RNA", at positions 21 to 897 of the family's 1533-position model. The record is from RNAcentral.
GGCUCAGGAUGAACGCUGGCGGCGUGCCUAAUACAUGCAAGUCGAACGGAGAAUGUAGCAAUACGUUCUUAGUGGCGAACGGGUGAGUAACGCGUUGGUGACCUGCCCCAAAGUGUGGGAUACCAGUUCGAAAGGACUGCUAAUACCUCAUGUGGUCACUGGGAUUAGAUGCCCGGUGAUUAAAGGAGAAAUUCGCUUUGGGAGGGACCUGCGUCCCAUCAGCUAGUUGGUAGGGUAACGGCCUACCAAGGCUUUGACGGGUAGGGGACCUGAGAGGGUGGCCCCCCACAAUGGAACUGAAACACGGUCCAUACACCUACGGGUGGCAGCAGUAGGGAAUAUUGCAUAAUGGGCGAAAGCCUGAUGCAGCAACGCCGCGUGCAUGAUGAAGGCCUUCGGGUUGUAAAAUGCUUUUAGCAGGGAUGAGGAAGGACAGUACCUGCUGAAUAAGCCUCGGCUAACUACGUGCCAGCAGCCGCGGUAAAACGUAGGAGGCGAGCGUUAUCCGGAUUUACUGGGCGUAAAGCGCGUGCAGGUGGUUCGGUAAGUUGGAUGUGAAAGCUCCUGGCUUAACUGGGAGAGGUCGUUCAAUACUGCUGGACUUGAGUGUGGGAGAGGGAGGUGGAAUUCCGGGUGUAGUGGUGAAAUGCGUAGAUAUCCGGAGGAACACCAGUGGCGAAAGCGGCCUCCUGGCCCAUAACUGACACUCAUACGCGAAAGCUAGGGGAGCGAACGGGAUUAGAGACCCCGGUAGUCCUAGCUGUAAACGAUGUGGACUUGGCGUCGGUGGGUUAAAAGCCAUCGGUGCCGAAGCUAACGCGAUAAGUCACCGCCCUGGGGACUACGGCCGCAAGGUUAA